AGUGAACGCUGGCGGUAGGCCUAACACAUGCAAGUCGAACGGCAGCACAGUAAGAGCUUGCUCUUACGGGUGGCGAGUGGCGGACGGGUGAGGAAUACAUCGGAAUCUACUUUUUCGUGGGGGAUAACGUAGGGAAACUUACGCUAAUACCGCAUACGACCUACGGGUGAAAUCAGGGGAUCUUCGGACCUUGCGCGAUUGAAUGAGCCGAUGUCGGAUUAGCUAGUUGGCGGGGUAAAGGCCCACCAAGGCGACGAUCCGUAGCUGGUCUGAGAGGAUGAUCAGCCACACUGGAACUGAGACACGGUCCAGACUCCUACGGGAGGCAGCAGUGGGGAAUAUUGGACAAUGGGCGGAAGCCUGAUCCAGCCAUACCGCGUGGGUGAAGAAGGCCUUCGGGUUGUAAAGCCCUUUUGUUGGGAAAGAAAAGCAGCAGGUUAAUACCCCGCUGUUCUGACGGUACCCAAAGAAUAAGCACCGGCUAACUUCGUG
RNAcentral lists this ribosomal RNA (492 nucleotides) under uncultured bacterium. RNAcentral describes it as "partial 16S ribosomal RNA". It matches the Rfam family "Bacterial small subunit ribosomal RNA", at positions 29 to 507 of the family's 1533-position model. The record is from RNAcentral.